Molecule: long non-coding RNA, 3946 nt
Filed under: Homo sapiens (human)
Lineage: Eukaryota; Metazoa; Chordata; Mammalia; Primates; Hominidae
Description: non-protein coding LINC00958:13
Source: RNAcentral
UUGCUUGAGCCUGCUUCCAUAUCGUAAACUGCCUUGGAACCAAUUACCACUACCAGGGAGACAAACUAUUGCUUAGAGGAUGCUGACAGGAGCAGCAUGCCAAAAUUGGAAGAAUGUUGUCUCUCAGCUGGUGCCACGAAUAGGUCUUCAGCAGGCUGUUCCAUUCCACCAUUCUGUCUGGCCCACUGCUUCUUACAAGAUUAAGAUAGCAGAUCCCAUGGGUGUAGGCUGUAGACCAAGACCUGGAAUUAACACAUCAGAAGAUUCUAUGAGGAAACCCAUUUAAAAAUAGGAUGCAUUUUUUUCUUUUCUGCACAGGGAGAAAGUUUAAGCUCUCCUCACUAUGAGUUUUCAAGUAUAAAAGACUUUUUCUUCCACGAUUUUGAGAACAACUGAGGACUCUUGUGACCAGGACAACAGGGAAGCUUGCAGCAAGAUAGCUCCAGGUUGGAUUCAUGCUUCGCACCCCAAGGGCUGCCAGCCAGAGAGGAGGAGAAGCAAUCACUCCUGCAGUUUCUGAACACUACACAGACGCCAGGUAGCUUCUUCAGGAGAACAGCCCUCUGAGGAGGCAGGAAGAGGAGGCUUAUCUUUCAGCAGCCGGAGCUGCUGAGAUCUCUGGGCAGAUUAAGCUCUCUCUAAUGGAUGGGCUCCAGCCUGGCACAUUCAGUGGAGAGGGAUCCACUCAUCCAUCAUCAACAUAAUAUGGUCCUCCCUGCACUUCACAGUGUCCUCUUGCUAUUGAAAAGGCUUUUUUGCCUUCUCAAGUUUCUUUGUCAACAGUCUACAGGAAGAAGCUCAGGCCGCCACCGGCAGAGGUGAAUGCAAGCUCACGUUUUAUUUCUGACUGCUUAAUCAUUGCCUCGAUCACUGCUCAAGCUCUGCCUUUGUUUCCAAAGGUUACCUGUGGGAAAACUUCUUUUUCUAUGCUGAAAUUAAUAGGGAGGCAAAGAUGAGUCCACUGAUAAGCAGAGCCUUAAAACUCACAUAGAGAAACAACUUUGCUGGAGUGUGUGUGAGUGAACCACUAAGGAAUCAGAUAGUGUGAUGGCAGUUAUCAUUGCAGGUUAAGACAUUUCUACAAAUAUUUCGACAUCUCCAUAUACUCACUCCUUUCCCCCCUGAGUGGAGAGACUCAGCUACCAAGAGAGGAAGCUCAAAAAAAACAGAAGCUUCAAACAAACAACCAACCAAAAAAAAAAAAAACCUUCCACUGGCCACUCAGCGAAAGGCAGCUGAUUCAGCACCUGGAGAAGACCGGCAACAGGGCUGAGUUUCCUUGCACUGCAGAGGAGGGGAGAGGCAAGGAGUGGACAUGAGCACGGAGGAUCCAGGGCACUCCCUUGAUGGUGAUGCCCUCGAAGGGCUGCCCCGUGCCCAUUGUACAGAAUGUGGAUUCCACCCCACGCCAUGAGAGCUCUCGCGCAGGCCCAGACCACUUUAUAAGCCAUAUUUCCCACCAAUUCCUGUUUCUGGAUCUGUCAGGUUAUUUCAUAUUUCUAGGCCCUUAGCUUUGCUUCCUCUUCCCUGAACGCCCUUUGCCCACAUCAUCCCAGCUCUCCUUCUCCUCCUGCCUUCUGUCUUCUCUUCCUCUCAUUUCUUGUCACCCAGGCUGGAGUCCAGUGGCGUGAUCACGGCUCACUACAGCCUUGAACUCCCGGGCUCAGGUGAUCCUCCCACCUGAGCCUCCCGAGUAGCUGGGACUACAGAUGCACACCACCAUGCCAGCUAAUUUUUAAAACUGUUUUUAGGGAUGGGGUCAUCUUCCUGUGUUGCCCAGGCUUGUCUCAAACUCCUGGGCUCAAGUGAUCCUCUCACCUCAGCCUUCCAAAGUGCUGGGAUUACAGGCAUGAGCCACAACAUCCAGCCCCUUUUCUCUUUUCUUACCCUUCUUUCCUAUUUUCUUUUCCAUUUUCUUUCCCUCCCUUCUUCUUUCUUUCCUAACUAUUAAGGAGUAGAUUGAAUUCAAGGUCUUUAUGUGUGUCAGUCAUACCAGACUUCUGCUUCCAGGAAUGACUGGAUGUGGUUUUUCUAGGUGGACAUAAUACAAAAUGCAGCUACCUGAAAACAAUGGAAAGUGGACAGAGCAGGCAGAUUCUGGUGGGAAGUCCACGCAAUAAAGAAAAGAUGUUACAGGAAGUGAGCGCCCAUUUUUGCUGUUUUUAGCUUGGAGGCAGGUGCAGCCAUUGUGCAAACCAGGUGUGGUGCUGGUGGAAAAACAGCCAUCUUUUUGGACUAUGAAAAUGGAAGGUUGAGUUCAGGGCAACUAUAACUGCCAAAAGAGAGAAGAAAGAGUUCUGGAAGAGAAAGAGCCAAAGAGGGAAUUCCCAAAUUCUUUCUGCUCCUGUCUGUGGCUGAUCCCAAACCACGGACACACACAGCAAAAACAAAAGCAUCUCAGCCAGAGACAAAAGAGUCUAAAAGAGACUGGACCUGCCACCUGAGAAACAGAGUUUGAAGUUAGAGUUCAAUCACAAAAAAAUGCCUGCUAAAACAAAAUAAACAAAACCUAUUAGAGAAAAGGUGUUCUCUUAUCAGAAUGUAGGGCCUCCACAACUUAACGUUUAUAAUGUGUACAAUCCAAACUUAUUCGACAUAUGAAGAACUGGAAAAGUGGGACCCAUUCUCAAGGGAAAAGAUAGCGGAGAUUCACUCCAAGAUGACCCAGAUGUUGGAAUUAUCCACCAAGGAUUUUAAAGCUACUAUUAUAACUGUUCUCAUGCUAUAAAAUCCACUAUUUAGAUCAUACUUAAUUGUGAAGAAAUGAAUUCUUUCCUCCUAAGAUUAGAAACAAGGACGGCAUGAAUACCCACUUUCACUACUAACACUGAAUUUUGUACGAAGGUCCCAGUCAGUUCAAUAUUUUUAAAAAGAUUUUAAAAAAAGCAAUAAAAGGCAUACAUAUUGGAAAGGGAAAAGUAAACUGUCUAAAUUUGCAGAUGACAAGGUCAUAUAAUGGUUUAAAAAAAGCUACUAGAACAAUAUGUGAGUUUACCAAGGUUAAAGGAUACAAGGUCAAUAUGCCAAAGUCAAGUGAAUUUCUAUAUAUUUGCAAUGAACAAUUCAAAAUGGAGUUUUAAAACAUUUUUAUUUAUGAUAGUCUCCAAAAUACUUUUUAAGAAAGAAAAUGACAGAAGCAACCCAAGUGUCUACUGAUGGAUAAUUAAAUUAUAGUAUAUAAAUACAAUGGGGCCGGGUGCAGUGGUUCAUGCCUGUAAACCCAGCACUUUGGGAGGCUGAGGUGGGAGGAUCACUCGAGCCCAGGAGUUCAAGACCAGCCUGGGCAACAUGGUGAAACCCCAUCUCUAGAAAAAGUACAACAAUUAGCUGAGCAUGGUGGUGCACACCUAUGGUCCUAGCUACUAGGAGGCUGAGGUGGGAGAUCACCGGAGCACAGGAGGUUGAGGCUGCAGUGAGCUGUGAUUGUGCCACUGCACUCCAGCCUGGGUGACAGAGCAAGACCCUGUCUCAAACACAUAUAUACAUACAUAUGUGGAAUACAAUGGAAUAUUUACUUAAAAAAGAAAGAAAAUUCCGACAACAUGGAUGGACCUUGAAGAUAUUAUGUUGAGUGAACUAGUCACAAAAGGACAAAUACUGCAUAAUUGUACUUUUAUGAGGCACUUAGAGUAAUCAAACUCAGAGACAGAAAGUAGAAUGCUGGUUGCCAGGGGCUGGUAGAAUGGAAAGUUAUUGUUUAAUGUUUAUAAAGUUUUAGUUUUGCAAGAUAAAAAGAUUUCUGUGGAUGGAUGGUGGUGAUGGUUGCACAAUGUGAAUGUACUUAAUGCCACUUAAAAAUGGUCAAGAUGGUAAAUUUUAUGUUAUGUGUAUUGUACCACAAUUUUCUUUACAAGGUCUCAAGUUGGACAUUAAAAUGCCAGGCAAUUAAAAGUAUUUAUGUUUAAAACUUAAUUUAAAAAAUAAUUGACAAGUAUAUUCUAAAAUU